GACGAACGCUGGCGGCGUGCCUAAUACAUGCAAGUCGAGCGAAGUUUUUCUGGUGCUUGCACUAGAAAAACUUAGCGGCGAACGGGUGAGUAACACGUAAAGAACCUGCCUCAUAGACUGGGACAACUAUUGGAAACGAUAGCUAAUACCGGAUAACAGCAUUAACUGCAUGGUUGAUGUUUGAAAGUUGGUUAUGCUAACACUAUGAGAUGGCUUUGCGGUGCAUUAGCUAGUUGGUGGGGUAAAGGCCCACCAAGGCGACGAUGCAUAGCCGACCUGAGAGGGUGAUCGGCCACACUGGGACUGAGACACGGCCCAGACUCCUACGGGAGGCAGCAGUAGGGAAUCUUCCGCAAUGGGCGAAAGCCUGACGGAGCAACGCCGCGUGAGUGAAGAAGGA
Molecule: ribosomal RNA, 400 nt
Filed under: Gemella morbillorum
Lineage: Bacteria; Bacillati; Bacillota; Bacilli; Caryophanales; Gemellaceae
Description: bacterial SSU rRNA
Rfam family: Bacterial small subunit ribosomal RNA
Source: RNAcentral